Molecule: ribosomal RNA, 494 nt
Filed under: uncultured bacterium
Lineage: Bacteria
Description: partial 16S ribosomal RNA
Rfam family: Bacterial small subunit ribosomal RNA
Source: RNAcentral
GACGAACGCUGGCGGCGUGCUUAACACAUGCAAGUCGAACGGAAAGGCCUGCUUUCCCUUGUGGAUUGCGGGUACUCGAGUGGCGAACGGGUGAGUAACACGUGAGUGAUCUGCCCCCAACUUGGGUAUAAGCCUGGGAAACUGGGUCUAAUUCCCGAUAGGACUGCAGGGUGGUGCCUGUGGUGGAAAACGAUUUUCUAGUGGUUGGGGAUGAGCUCGCGGCCUAUCAGCUUGUUGGUGGGGUAAUGGCCUACCAAGGCGGCGACGGGUAGCCGGCCUGGGAGGGUGGGCGGCCACAUUGGGACGGCGAUACGGCCCAGACUCCUACGGGAGGCAGCAGUGGGGAAGAUGGCACGAUGGGCGGAAGCCUGAUGCAGCGACGCCGAGUGGGGGAUGACGGCCUUCGGGUUGUAAACUCCUUUCGACCGCGAGGAAGCCACCUGGUUGGAAGGGUGGUGACGGUAGUGGUAGAAGAAGCACCGGCUAACUACGUG